Molecule: ribosomal RNA, 427 nt
Filed under: uncultured Lysobacteraceae bacterium
Lineage: Bacteria; Pseudomonadati; Pseudomonadota; Gammaproteobacteria; Lysobacterales; Lysobacteraceae
Description: bacterial SSU rRNA
Rfam family: Bacterial small subunit ribosomal RNA
Source: RNAcentral
UGGGGAAUAUUGGACAAUGGGCGCAAGCCUGAUCCAGCAAUGCCGCGUGUGUGAAGAAGGCCUUCGGGUUGUAAAGCACUUUUAUCAGGAGCGAAAUCGGCAAGGUUAAUAACCGUGUCGUCUGACGGUACCUGAGGAAUAAGCACCGGCUAACUUCGUGCCAGCAGCCGCGGUAAUACGAAGGGUGCAAGCGUUAAUCGGAAUUACUGGGCGUAAAGGGUGCGUAGGCGGUUUGUUAAGUCUGUUGUGAAAUCCCCGGGCUCAACCUGGGAAUGGCAAUGGAUACUGGCAGGCUAGAGUGUGUCAGAGGAUGGUGGAAUUCCCGGUGUAGCGGUGAAAUGCGUAGAGAUCGGGAGGAACAUCAGUGGCGAAGGCGGCCAUCUGGGACAACACUGACGCUGAAGCACGAAAGCGUGGGGAGCAAACA